CACAGCGGUAGAUCGCCUAAGUCCAGCGACGUCCUGUCGCAACGGCGAUCGACUGUACAUCCUGUACG
This 68-nucleotide small RNA is filed under the name Tumebacillus sp. BK434. Its description in RNAcentral is "Bacillaceae-1 RNA". It matches the Rfam family "Bacillaceae-1 RNA". The record is from RNAcentral. Lineage: Bacteria; Bacillati; Bacillota; Bacilli; Caryophanales; Alicyclobacillaceae.